Antechinus flavipes (yellow-footed antechinus) is the source of this 104-nucleotide small nuclear RNA. The record is from RefSeq and is a predicted model, not a curated record. NCBI's taxonomy places the organism in Eukaryota, Metazoa, Chordata, Mammalia, Dasyuromorphia, Dasyuridae.
AUCUCUUUGGCAAUACAUUUAUUUAACAUUUAAUAUUACAGAGGAAAUUAGCAUGGCCUUUGAUAAAGAAUGACAGAAAUGUUUUUGAAAUAUUCUAUAUUUUU